This 413-nucleotide ribosomal RNA is filed under the name uncultured bacterium. Its description in RNAcentral is "bacterial SSU rRNA". It matches the Rfam family "Bacterial small subunit ribosomal RNA", at positions 340 to 749 of the family's 1533-position model. The record is from RNAcentral.
UACGGAAGGCAGCAGUGGGGAAUAUUGCACAAUGGGCGCAAGCCUGAUGCAGCCAUGCCGCGUGUAUGAAGAAGGCCUUCGGGUUGUAAAGUACUUUCAGUCGUGAGGAAGGUGUUAAGGUUAAUAACCUUAGCAAUUGACGUUAGCGACAGAAGAAGCACCGGCUAACUCCGUGCCAGCAGCCGCGGUAAUACGGAGGGUGCGAGCGUUAAUCGGAAUUACUGGGCGUAAAGGGCACGCAGGCGGUUAAUUAAGUUGGAUGUGAAAUCCCCGGGCUUAACCUGGGAAUGGCAUUCAAGACUGGUUAGCUAGAGUCUUGUAGAGGGGGUAGAAUUCCAUGUGUAGCGGUGAAAUGCGUAGAGAUGUGGAGGAAUACCGGUGGCGAGGCGGCCCCUGGACAAGACUGACGCUCA